This 29-nucleotide small RNA is filed under the name Bombyx mori (domestic silkworm). RNAcentral's name for it is "ovarian small RNA-7312". Lineage: Eukaryota; Metazoa; Arthropoda; Insecta; Lepidoptera; Bombycidae. The record is from RNAcentral.
UCCCUGAUGCGCUACAAAAGCGGGGCAGC